GCCAACAGCCAUAUCACCCUGCAACUCACAACUGGCAGUCCACUGAAGCUAAGCAGGUGUGAGCCUGGUCAGUACCUGGAUAGGAGACCUCCUGGGAAAACUAAGGUUGCUCCUGGAA
Lepisosteus oculatus (spotted gar) is the source of this 118-nucleotide ribosomal RNA. Lineage: Eukaryota; Metazoa; Chordata; Actinopteri; Semionotiformes; Lepisosteidae. The record is from Ensembl.